GUCUGCAGCCAUACCACCCUGAACACGCCUGAUCUCAUCUGAUCUCAGAAGCUAAGCAGGGUCGGGCCUGGUUAGUACUUGGAUGGGAGAAAUUACAAGAUUAAAAAGUAAUCGUGAGUA
This 120-nucleotide ribosomal RNA is filed under the name Gorilla gorilla gorilla (western lowland gorilla). The record is from RNAcentral. Lineage: Eukaryota; Metazoa; Chordata; Mammalia; Primates; Hominidae.